This 402-nucleotide ribosomal RNA is filed under the name Nematoda environmental sample. RNAcentral's name for it is "SSU rRNA". It matches the Rfam family "Eukaryotic small subunit ribosomal RNA", at positions 29 to 436 of the family's 1831-position model. The record is from RNAcentral. Lineage: Eukaryota; Metazoa; Nematoda.
UGCUUGUCUCAAAGAUUAAGCCAUGCAUGUCUAAGCAGAGCCCUUGAAUGGUAAAGCCGCGAAUGGCUCAUUACAACAGCCACAGAACAGUGGGUCUCCAUUUACUAGGAUAACUGAGCUAAUUGUUGAGCUAAUACACGCACCAAAGCUUCGACCUCACGGGAGGAGCGCAUUUAUUAGAACAAAACCAAUCGGACUUCGGUCCGUCCAUUGGUGAAUCUAAAUAACUUAGCCGAUCGCAUGGUCUCGCACCGGCGACUCACCUUUCAAAUGUCUGCCUUAUCACCUUUCGAUGGUAGUUUAUACGCCUACCAUGGGUUUUACGGGUAACGGAGAAUAAGGGUUCGACUCCGGAGAGGGAGCCUGAGAAACGGCUACCACAUCCRAGGAAGGCAGCAGGCA